CCUACGGGUGACAGCAGUAGGGAAUAUUGCUCAAUGGGGGAAACCCUGAAGCAGCAACGCCGCGUGGAGGAUGAAGGUUUUCUGAUUGUAAACUCCUUUUGUUAGAGAAGAUAAUUACGGUAUCUAACGAAUAAGCACCGGCUAACUCCGUGCCAGCGGCCGCGGUAAUACGGAGGGUGCAAGCGUUACUCGGAAUCACUGGGCGUAAAGGGCGCGUAGGCGGGAUAGCAAGUCAGAUGUGAAAUCCUAUGGCUUAACCAUAGAACUGCAUUUGAAACUGUUAUUCUAGAGUAUGGGAGAGGUAGGUGGAAUUCGGGGGGUAGGGGUAAAAUCCGUAGAGAACAAGCGGAAUACUCAUGGCGAAGGCAAC
RNAcentral lists this ribosomal RNA (370 nucleotides) under uncultured bacterium. RNAcentral describes it as "partial 16S ribosomal RNA". It matches the Rfam family "Bacterial small subunit ribosomal RNA", at positions 338 to 725 of the family's 1533-position model. The record is from RNAcentral.